This 259-nucleotide unclassified non-coding RNA is filed under the name Hevea brasiliensis (rubber tree). The record is from RNAcentral. Lineage: Eukaryota; Viridiplantae; Streptophyta; Magnoliopsida; Malpighiales; Euphorbiaceae.
AAGCAAAAGUUUCAGCUUUUGAAUAAGAUUUCACUAUUAAUAGGCCCACAACUAGAUCUUGGGUGUGAGAACAUAACAUAGUCUUUUCUCUACCAACAACGAUUGGAAAGAAGAGACAUAUAUGGCUUUCUCUUCUCAAUGAAGUGAUGGUGGAUGUCUUUUAAUGUAACUGUUUGAUAGCUUAGAUGAUAUGUGCAUGUGCUGGCGGUUUUUAAUGGGCUUGUUGUUUAGUUUUUUUUUUAUGUAUUUUUAAUUUUAU